Molecule: ribosomal RNA, 471 nt
Filed under: uncultured Enterobacteriaceae bacterium
Lineage: Bacteria; Pseudomonadati; Pseudomonadota; Gammaproteobacteria; Enterobacterales; Enterobacteriaceae
Description: bacterial SSU rRNA
Rfam family: Bacterial small subunit ribosomal RNA
Source: RNAcentral
ACGGGGCCCGCACAAGCGGUGGAGCAUUGUUAGGUUUAAUUCGAUGCAACGCGAAGAACCUUUACCUGGUCUUGACAUCCACGGAAGUUUUCAGAGAUGAGAAUGUGCCUUCGGGAACCGUGAGACAGGUGCUGCAUGGCUGUCGUCAGCUCGUGUUGUGAAAUGUUGGGUUAAGUCCCGCAACGAGCGCAACCCUUAUCCUUUGUUGCCAGCGGUCCGGCCGGGAACUCAAAGGAGACUGCCAGUGAUAAACUGGAGGAAGGUGGGAUGACGUCAAGUCAUCAUGGCCCUUACGACCAGGGCUACACACGUGCUACAAUGGCGCAUACAAAGAGAAGCGACCUCGCGAGAGCAAGCGGACCUCAUAAAGUGCGUCGUAGUCCGGAUUGGAGUCUGCAACUCGACUCCAUGAAGUCGGAAUCGCUAGUAAUCGUGGAUCAGAAUGCCACGGUGAAUACGUUCCCGGGCCUU